This 306-nucleotide ribosomal RNA is filed under the name uncultured bacterium. RNAcentral's name for it is "bacterial SSU rRNA". It matches the Rfam family "Bacterial small subunit ribosomal RNA", at positions 28 to 316 of the family's 1533-position model. The record is from RNAcentral.
GAUGAACGCUGGCGGCGUGCCUAACACAUGCAAGUCGAGCGAGAAACCAUCGAUUGAAACUUCGGUAGAUAUUGAAGGCGGAAAGCGGCGGACGGGGUGAGUAACGCGUAGGCAACCUGCCCUUUGCAGAGGGAUAGCAACGGGAAACUGUUAUUAAAACCUCAUAAUACCGUAAUGUCAAAUGAUGAAACGGUCAAAGAUUUAUCGGCAAAGGAUGGGCCUGCGUCUGAUUAGUUAGUUGGUAGGGUAACGGCCUACCAAGGCAGCGAUCAGUAGCCGACCUGAGAGGGUGAUCGGCCACAUUGG